Triticum dicoccoides is the source of this 784-nucleotide long non-coding RNA. RefSeq lists it as uncharacterized. NCBI's taxonomy places the organism in Eukaryota, Viridiplantae, Streptophyta, Magnoliopsida, Poales, Poaceae. The transcript has 4 exons. The record is from RefSeq and is a predicted model, not a curated record.
CAGGUCUUGGGCAUGAUGGCCGGACGCGAUGAGGAGGACAUACUGGAUCCCCAUGGACGCCAAGGAUUCGAGGACAUUGGCAGAUGUAGAGGAGGCAAUGAGGACGGAGAUGAUUGCGGCACACAAUUUAAAUAAACUAGAAUAUCCUGAAAAUUAUAUUUGGUGUAUAGAAUUCAGUUUUAGUCUUUGAGUACAUUUUCAUGAUUCGCUUAUUCCAGUAGUGAGUAAAAAUAUGUAAAACUACGUGACUUGUAAAUUUUUGAGUCUGUCGUGCGUCCCAACGAUUCCACCGGCAUCGGCCCUCCCCUACCGUGGUGCGGACUGCAGUAUUAGCGGUCUCCUUGGAGUCCUGAAGCAGCUCAAGGGCAUCGUCCUUGGAAAAGAUGGUUCUGUUAGAUAAAUGUCUUCCCAAGUUAAAGGCACAUGGCUCCGAAGUACUAAUAUUCUCUGAGGGGCACCAUAACAUAUGAAAAUUUUGAAGAGCUUUGUGAAGAUUUGUGGGAGCAGCUCCGACUCCAAUUAAAGAAGUUCCACGCAGCGGGCAUGAAGAUUGGUCACAUCUAUAUGUUUAGUUGUGCUGCAGGACAUGUGCUAUUCUGAAAAUGGAGCUUCUCUAUUGGAUGGCAGCUCAUGAUGGUAGUUUCAGAUAUGAAGCUAAGGAAAGCGUGCCUCAUAAUUCAUUAGAUGUAUCCCAGUAGGGCCAAUUAGAUAUUGUUGGUUGUAAAUGACAUGAGUUUUUAGCUUUCAUAAAAUCUAGAUUUGUACUCUUUAACAAUAAGCUGUG